This 516-nucleotide unclassified non-coding RNA is filed under the name Hevea brasiliensis (rubber tree). Lineage: Eukaryota; Viridiplantae; Streptophyta; Magnoliopsida; Malpighiales; Euphorbiaceae. The record is from RNAcentral.
AAAAAGAGAUGAAGAUCACCUAAUUUAGCUAAUGGGUGCAGAAUGCAUAGCUUCUUCCAUCUUCUGUACCAAAUCUUCACGCUUCUUGAACUGCCCAGCCUUGCUCAGCUGCUGCAGAACCAUCUCGUAAAUUUGCGGGCUUGGUUUCAGGGACUUCUCUAUCAUCUCUCUUAAAAAUUUGUAGGCAUUAUUCCAAUGCCCCAUUUGACAAAACAUUGAAAUCAGAACCUGGUAGGUAUUUAAAUUAGCCUGGACAUCAUUCUCAUUCAUUUCCUUCUUCAACUUCAGAACCAUAUCAGUUGAUUUCGACCCAGCAAACAUUCGCAUCAGGAUAUUGUAAGUCAUUGCAUUGGGCUUACACUUCAGCUCCUUCAUAUUGUCAUACAUUCUACGAGCUGCAUUCGCAUCUUGUAACGUUGCAAUGCAUCCGAAUAAAGAAUUGAAAGUAGAAGCAUUUGGCUUACACCCUUUCUUAACCAUCGAAUUGAGCACUUUAAUAGCAUCAUCAAGAUUCUU